Molecule: ribosomal RNA, 914 nt
Filed under: Talaromyces minioluteus
Lineage: Eukaryota; Fungi; Ascomycota; Eurotiomycetes; Eurotiales; Trichocomaceae
Description: LSU rRNA
Rfam family: Eukaryotic large subunit ribosomal RNA
Source: RNAcentral
ACAUAUCAUAAGCGGAGGAAAAAGAAACCCAACCGGGAUUGCCUCAGUAACGGCGAGUGAAGCGGCAAGAGCUCAAAUUUGAAAUCUGGGCCCCCCUGGGGGUCCGAGUUGUAAUUUGGAGAGGAUGCUUCGGGUACGGUGCCCAUCUAAGUGCCCUGGAACGGGCGGUCAUAGAGGGUGAGAAUCCCGUAUGGGAUGGGCGGCCGUGCCCGUGUGAAGCUCCUUCGACGAGUCGAGUUGUUUGGGAAUGCAGCUCUAAGCGGGGUGGUAAAUUUCAUCUAAAGCUAAAUACUGGCCGGAGACCGAUAGCGCACAAGUAGAGUGAUCGAAAGAUGAAAAGCACUUUGAAAAGAGAGUUAAACAGCACGUGAAAUUGUUGAAAGGGAAGCGUUGGCCACCAGACGCGCCCGGGAGGGUUCAGCCGGCACUUGUGCCGGUGUACUCCCCCCCGGGUGGGCCAGCAUCGGUUUGGGCGGUCGCUGAAAGGCCCCGGGAAUGUAGCACCCUCCGGGGUGCCUUAUAGCCCGGGGUGUCAUGCGGCCCGCCUGGACCGAGGCCCGCGCUUCGGCGAGGAUGCUGGCGUAAUGGUGGUCAACGGCCCGUCUUGAAACACGGACCAAGGAGUCUAACAUCUAUGCGAGUGUUCGGGUGUCAAACCCGUCCGCGCAGUGAAAGCGAACGCAGGUGGGAACCCCUUUCCGGGGUGCACCAUCGACCGAUCCUGAUGUCUUCGGAUGGAUUUGAGUAAGAGCAUAGCUGUUGGGACCCGAAAGAUGGUGAACUAUGCCUGAAAUAGGGCGAAGCCAGAGGAAACUCUGGUGGAGGCUCGCAGCGGUUCUGACGUGCAAAUCGAUCGUCAAAUUUGGGUAUAGGGGCGAAAGACUAAUCGAACCAUCUGGUAGCUGCUCUGGCGA